Molecule: ribosomal RNA, 459 nt
Filed under: uncultured bacterium
Lineage: Bacteria
Description: partial 16S ribosomal RNA
Rfam family: Bacterial small subunit ribosomal RNA
Source: RNAcentral
CCUACGGGAGGCAGCAGUGAGGAAUAUUGGUCAAUGGUCGGGAGACUGAACCAGCCAAGCCGCGUGAGGGAGGAAGGUACAGAGUAUCGUAAACCGCUUUUGUCAGGGAACAAAGGCGGGGACGUGUCCCCGGAUGAGUGUACCUGAAGAAAAAGCAUCGGCUAACUCCGUGCCAGCAGCCGCGGUAAUACGGAGGAUGCGAGCGUUAUCCGGAUUUAUUGGGUUUAAAGGGUGCGCAGGCGGUCUGUUAAGUCAGCGGUAAAAGCCCGGGGCUCAACCCCGGCCCGCAGUUGAAACUGGAAGUCUUGAGUUGGCGAGAAGUAUGCGGAAUGUGCGGUGUAGCGGUGAAAUGCAUAGAUAUCGCGAAGAACCCCGAUUGCGAAGGCAGCAUGCCGGCUCCACACUGACGCUGAGGCACGAAGGCGUGGGUAUCGAACAGGAUUAGAUACCCUUGUAGUC